UAGCCAUGAUGAUAAAUUUCUUCUUCACUCAGUGUUCCCUUCCUUGUUGGACGCAAUGUCUCUUCCCUACACAAAAACAUGAAGCAAAAGAGAAGAAAAUGACGGAAGCUACAAAUCCUGCAGCACACGGAAUCCCCACCAUGGUAGAAGUUUAACAUCAAGUCCCAACACCCCCAAAACAUCUUAAUUCAGGAGUGUUUAGGCAUUGCUUCUGAAAUAAGUGAAAUAAAAGGUGUUUUCUCACUUA
This is a long non-coding RNA of Lacerta agilis (Sand lizard), 247 nucleotides long. RefSeq lists it as uncharacterized. Lineage: Eukaryota; Metazoa; Chordata; Lepidosauria; Squamata; Lacertidae. The record is from RefSeq and is a predicted model, not a curated record. The transcript is spliced from 2 exons.